ACUCCUACGGGAGGCAGCAGUGGGGAAUUUUGCGCAAUGGGCGAAAGCCUGACGCAGCAACGCCGCGUGAGUGAUGAAGGCUUUCGGGUCGUAAAGCUCUGUCAAUGGGAAAGAAGUGUAAUUGGGUUAAUACCCCUUUUACUUGACGGUACCCAUAAAGGAAGCACCGGCUAACUCCGUGCCAGCAGCCGCGGUAAUACGGGGGGUGCAAGCGUUGUUCGGAAUUAUUGGGCGUAAAGCGCGUGUAGGCGGUUUGAUUAGUCUGAUGUGAAAGCCCCGGGCUCAACCCGGGAAGUGCAUUGGAAACUGUCAGACUUGAAUACGGGAGAGGGUAGUGGAAUUCCUAGUGUAGGAGUGAAAUCCGUAGAUAUUAGGAGGAACACCGGUGGCGAAGGCGGCUACCUGGACCGAUAUUGACGCUGAGACGCGAAAGCGUGGGUAGCAAACAGGAUUAGAUACCCUGGUAGUCCACGCCGUAAACGAUGAGAACUAGGUGUCGCGGGUA
This 505-nucleotide ribosomal RNA is filed under the name uncultured Geobacter sp. RNAcentral's name for it is "bacterial SSU rRNA". It matches the Rfam family "Bacterial small subunit ribosomal RNA", at positions 335 to 831 of the family's 1533-position model. Lineage: Bacteria; Pseudomonadati; Thermodesulfobacteriota; Desulfuromonadia; Geobacterales; Geobacteraceae. The record is from RNAcentral.